RNAcentral lists this long non-coding RNA (228 nucleotides) under Mytilus galloprovincialis (Mediterranean mussel). The record is from RNAcentral. Lineage: Eukaryota; Metazoa; Mollusca; Bivalvia; Mytilida; Mytilidae.
UGCCUACGUUUGAAUCUCCUUAUGGUUUUGUCUGUUUUUUUUAUCAAAUUUUGAAUUCACAGAUGCUCUAUUAUUUUGUCAAAACAGUAAUUUCGAUGUUUCUAAUGCUCAGGGUGAGAAAUUGACUUUAAUUGUAUAUCUGAAUCCUAUUUGGUACUCUCGCCCAAGGUGACACUUGCUGUCACAAGUAAUAUUUUUCACAAUUACAUGUUUGCAAAUUCAUUCCUG